CAGCCGAAACAGGGGUGCUAUAUUUCAUAAUGAUUAAUAUGGCUGAGAAUUACCCUUUAUACCGAUCAAGAUAAUACUUGCGUGGGGAGUUUCUAACUACAACUA
RNAcentral lists this non-coding RNA (105 nucleotides) under Pelistega indica. Its description in RNAcentral is "TPP sequence". It matches the Rfam family "TPP riboswitch aptamer (THI element)". From Rfam's summary of the family: Vitamin B(1) in its active form thiamin pyrophosphate (TPP) is an essential coenzyme that is synthesised by coupling of pyrimidine and thiazole moieties in bacteria. The previously detected thiamin-regulatory element, thi box was extended, resulting in a new, highly conserved RNA secondary structure, the THI element, which is widely distributed in eubacteria and also occurs in some archaea. The record is from Rfam by way of RNAcentral. Lineage: Bacteria; Pseudomonadati; Pseudomonadota; Betaproteobacteria; Burkholderiales; Alcaligenaceae.